CAAAAAGCAUGGUAAAUGGACAAAACCAACACACGCGACUCACCUUACAACGUAGCGCAGUGGAAUAACGCAAUAGCUAUGCAAACGUUAUACCAACAGAGCAAAAACAUUGUAAGAAUACACAUGCCCGACACAACGGAUGGUUGCAAAGAAAUCGAGAGUGAAACCGCAUCGAUUACAAACAGGUUUUGAAGGAGCAAACCCGAAAGCAAGAGAAAAAUAUAUAUUUAAAAAAAAGACAUUUUCCCAUAGCUAUGUGUUAUGCCAUAUUGAAGAGUAGAAAAUGGGAAAGAAAUAGCAUUUCUAAUAAAGAAAGAAACCUGUCUUUGCUUGCUUUCACUUCGAUACAAAUGUUUUAUUAUGUCUUUGUACAUUAUGCAUCCUUCGAGCCAUCAAACCAAAAUCCAGAACAUUACACAAAACUUACCCCUUGUCGGCACCGUUGAGAAUCAAGUUUUGACCCAUGACGGCCAAACCGAUGAGACCAAAAUCUUUGGCAAAAAGUUAAUAAACCAGACCGCUAUAAAAAAUUCCUAACAGCAUCCCCAACUCAGCUCGGCUCUUCUCGAAAGAAAAAAAAAUAAAAAGAGAUAAAGAGAGGAAAAGGGAAACACGAAAUUCCAAGAUGGAAAAUAUCUAUAUUCUUUUUCACAUACCGGCACUAAAGGGGAAAAUGUUAGUAAGACAAGGCGUCUCAAAUGAAGGAGCGAAUUUCUACUUACACUUCUUUUUGUGACAUGAUUCUUCUUUUCGUAGUGUGGUUAAUGAAUGUUUGGUUAUGUGUUGGUUGGUGUGGGACGUAGAUUCGCUCCUUAUAUUUCUUCAGCUCACCCAAGUUCGCUUACGUCAUUAGCAACAGUUAUAUCCUUCGAGAAUAGAUCGAUUUUAGUUAGCGGGGCCGGUUGCAUCAUGUGCAUCGUUUUGCUACGUAUUGCUACGAGGGGUUAAGGAAACAGAGCACACUAAAAACUAUAAUGAUAAACGGAAUAGCGAUGGGCAGCGUUAAGGUAAAAGAGACAGAAAGGCAAAGGUGGAGUGGGAUAGGCGGUAAGGAGGUGGUAGGUAGGACGAGUUGUGGUGAUAGACAUUGUGUAAGUAUUUCUGCAUUUUUAUUUUCAUUUCUCAUGUCUUUUGU
This is a non-coding RNA of Schizosaccharomyces pombe (fission yeast), 1135 nucleotides long. NCBI's taxonomy places the organism in Eukaryota, Fungi, Ascomycota, Schizosaccharomycetes, Schizosaccharomycetales, Schizosaccharomycetaceae. The record is from the annotation of a GenBank genome assembly.